Molecule: ribosomal RNA, 817 nt
Filed under: uncultured bacterium
Lineage: Bacteria
Description: bacterial SSU rRNA
Rfam family: Bacterial small subunit ribosomal RNA
Source: RNAcentral
CGGCCCCAACUUAGGUUGGGGAGCUGACGAGUGGCGCACGGGUGAGUAACGCGUACGCAACCUACCCUCAAGAGGGGGAUAGCCCCGGGAAACUGGGAUUAAUCCGCCAUGUGAUCACCGAAUUGCCUGGUUUGGUGAUUAAAGCUGAGGCGCUUGAGGAUGGGCGUGCGUGCUAUUAGCUGGUUGGUGAGGUAACGGCUCACCAAGGCGACGAUAGCUAGGGGGCGUGAGAGCGUGACCCCCCACACGGGUACUGAGACACGGACCCGACUCCUACGGGAGGCAGCAGUAAGGAAUAUUGGACAAUGGGCGCAAGCCUGAUCCAGCCAUCCCGCGUGCAGGAUGACGGCCCUAUGGGUUGUAAACUGCUUUUAUCAGGGAAGAAGUCUCGAGAUUGAUUUUCGAGUUGACGGUACCUGAUGAAUAAGCACCGGCUAACUCCGUGCCAGCAGCCGCGGUAACACGGAGGGUGCAAGCGUUAUCCGGAAUCACUGGGUUUAAAGGGUGCGUAGGCGGCAUGAUAAGUCAGAGGUGAAACCCUGCGGCUUAACCGUAGACCUGCCUUUGAUACUGUUGUGCUUGAAUGAGGUUGGGGUCGGCGGAAUGUGACAUGUAGCGGUGAAAUGCAUAGAUAUGUCAUAGAACACCAAUUGCGAAGGCAGCCGGCUAGACCUGAAUUGACGCUGAGGCACGAAAGCGUGGGGAGCGAACAGGAUUAGAUACCCUGGUAGUCCACGCCCUAAACGAUGUUCACUCGACGUAUGGCCUGUGGGGCUGUGCGUCCAAGCGAAAGCGUUAAGUGAACCACCUGGGGAGU